UAUAUUAUUAUAUAUAUGACAAAGAAAGAAAGAAAAGAAACAGAGAGCAAAACAAAACAGAGAAGGGAGAAAGAAAGAAACAGAGAGCAAAACGAAACAGAGAAGGAAGGAAGGAAAGAAAGAAAGAAAAGAAAAGAAAAAGGGAAAUUUGGGGUUUUAAGGUUCAAAGUAAUUUGAUCAAGAAGUACGAAACUCGAGGUUAGUCAAAGGGAAGAAUAAAGUUGAAGACUAAGUUGGUGAAUUUGGCUAUAAUUGGUACCGAGGUAAGUUUACGGUAAAUAAAUGCAAUAUUUUAAUAUUUAUUAUUAAUGCUGUUAAUUUCCAGCAAUUAUGAAUUUAUUUUAUGAAUUUAUUUGAUGAUGAUCCGAGCAUGAAAUGAUAGAGAAUUAAAAUUUAAAAGUCCCGUUGAUACAUAAGGAUGGUACUGGAUACGAAUGUCAUGACAUUUGGCUAAAGAGAUCCCAUGUAAGACCAUGUCUGGGACAUGGCAUUGGCAUCCUUAAGAUCAUGAGAGGUCCCCUGUAAGACCAUGUCUGGGACAUGGCAUGGGCACCGAGACGAGAGGUCCCAUGUAAGACCAUGUCUGGGACAUGGCGUUGGCACCGAGAUGAGAGGUCCCCUAUAAGACCAUGUCUGGGACAUGGCAUGGGCACCAUCACGAGAACAUCCCAUGUAAGACCAUGUCUGGGACAUGGCUUUGGCAUGUUAUUAUCAGAAGAGACCCGAGUAUCCUUAUUAUUCCAAUGUAGUUCAACGGGCUUGUAAACGAAUCAUGUUCAUGAAAGUUCAGUUUAAAGCAUAAAUGGCAAGCUCAGGUAAGUUGUAAGACUUAAGAACUUAUUAUACUAUCAAUUGAUGUUCAACGAUGCAGCAAGGAUUGAGUAAGUUAUGCACACAAAUAUUCUAAGUAAACAAGUAAGAGAACUAGUAUGAGAUUAACUAAAGAGUAAACUAGAGAUAUAGACAUUGAGUUUAAUUAUUUAAGUUAAAUAUUGUUAUUUAUUUGCUAGUAAACUUACUAAGCUUUAUGCUUACUUCUUUUAUUUCUCUUUCUCUUAUAGUAUUGCAAAGCUACUUCAAGGAUCCUAAAGAAGUCGGAGAUCAUCCACACUAUCAACUACAACUGCUCGGUAUUUUAUAUCGAAACACGUUUAAGUUAUGGCAUGUAUAGGGAUUUAGUUAUUUUGUAUGUUUGUAGUGAUGAUUUUGCUAAUGAGUGAUGUGUAAGUAUUUGAUGAUGUAUGGUUAUUAAAAUGAUUAAGGAUGAAGGUGUUUGUUGUUAUGAAAGAUUAGGUGAUAAAUU
This 1303-nucleotide long non-coding RNA is filed under the name Gossypium barbadense (sea-island cotton). RNAcentral describes it as "long non-coding RNA (GBAR_LNC016018)". The record is from RNAcentral. Lineage: Eukaryota; Viridiplantae; Streptophyta; Magnoliopsida; Malvales; Malvaceae.